Molecule: ribosomal RNA, 213 nt
Filed under: Enterococcus faecalis
Lineage: Bacteria; Bacillati; Bacillota; Bacilli; Lactobacillales; Enterococcaceae
Description: partial 23S ribosomal RNA
Rfam family: Bacterial large subunit ribosomal RNA
Source: RNAcentral
CAACACCUAGGAGGAUCCUGAGUACGGCGGAACACGAGAAAUUCCGUCGGAAUCCGCGGGGACCAUCCCGCAAGGCUAAAUACUCACUAGUGACCGAUAGUGAACCAGUACCGUGAGGGAAAGGUGAAAAGCACCCCGGAAGGGGAGUGAAAUAGAUCCUGAAACCGUGUGCCUACAACAAGUCAAAGCUCGUUAAUGAGUGAUGGCGUGCCU